CAGCCGCCGCGGGAAUACGAAGGGGGCUAGCGUUGUUCGGAUUUACUGGGCGUAAAGGGCGCGUAGGCGGGCGAAUAAGUCAGGGGUGAAAUCCCAAGGCUCAACCUUGGAACUGUCUUUGAUACUGUUUGUCUUGAGUUCGAGAGAGGUAAGUGGAACUGCGAGUGCAGAGGUGAAAUUCGUAGAUAUUCGCAAGAACACCAGUGGCGAAGGCGGCUUACUGGCUCGAAACUGACGCUGAGGCGCGAAAGCGUGGGGAGCAAACAGGAUUAGAGACCCCCGUAGUCCCUGUCUCUUAUAC
This 301-nucleotide ribosomal RNA is filed under the name uncultured bacterium. RNAcentral describes it as "partial 16S ribosomal RNA". It matches the Rfam family "Bacterial small subunit ribosomal RNA", at positions 509 to 807 of the family's 1533-position model. The record is from RNAcentral.